UUGAAAAGAGUUUCAAUAAUACUUUGAAAGAAAUCAUUGUAUAUCUCACUAUUACAUAGAAUUGAACCUAUGGGGUCACACAAUAAAGAGAUUUGGUCUGAAAUUAGUAAUUGAGUUUAUGAAGUAUCAAUUGGGUUUAGAGAAAUCUGAUUGAGUUCAAAGUAACCUUGCUAUCACAUGAUUGGACCCAAUUCCUCUUUUCGUUGAGAUUUUUUAUUUGAUAAGAUAAUUCAAAAUUAAUUAUCUACUAAUAACUUACAUGAAUAAGAUUC
RNAcentral lists this long non-coding RNA (272 nucleotides) under Elaeis guineensis (African oil palm). RNAcentral describes it as "long non-coding RNA (EGUI_LNC036996)". Lineage: Eukaryota; Viridiplantae; Streptophyta; Magnoliopsida; Arecales; Arecaceae. The record is from RNAcentral.